This 475-nucleotide long non-coding RNA is filed under the name Jatropha curcas. RNAcentral's name for it is "long non-coding RNA (JCUR_LNC000939)". Lineage: Eukaryota; Viridiplantae; Streptophyta; Magnoliopsida; Malpighiales; Euphorbiaceae. The record is from RNAcentral.
AUGCUUUGGCAUAUUGUUGCCAAAUUGCCAUAAAUUAAUUUAAAUUGGUUAGGUGGGCAAUCAACUUCUUUGUGCUCAAAAACAGUUGUUAUCAUCAAAAACUAAAGAAGAAAUGAAGAGUACAAGAAGAUAAGAGACAAUGGCUGCCCAUUGGAAACAGAUGUAUCCAAGUAUGUAACUCUCCAUCUAUCCCCUAUUCAUAUCAUUCUUAUGUCGUGUCUGAUAAUAUAAUUUGCAGAUUCGAGGUGAAAAUAUCUAAAAUGUUAAAAAAAAUCGCUCUGUUCAAGGACGGAUUAGUUUGGAGUCUCGGGUUCUGGAAAAUCUUUUUCCUUUUUUUUUUUUUUUUUUUUUUUUUUUUGGAGUAUCAAUGAAGGAGAUUCGAACUUGGAUCAUGUGUCAGGUCAUAUAUGUAUUUACCACUAGGCUAUGUCUUGGUGUGUGUUUUGGAAAAUCUUGCUAUCUCUAUACAAUGGAU